RNAcentral lists this ribosomal RNA (484 nucleotides) under uncultured Clostridiaceae bacterium. RNAcentral's name for it is "partial 16S ribosomal RNA". Lineage: Bacteria; Bacillati; Bacillota; Clostridia; Eubacteriales; Clostridiaceae. The record is from RNAcentral.
CACGUAGUUAGCCGUGGCUUCCUCCUCAGGUACCGUCAUUAUCGUCCCUGAGGACAGAGCUUUACAACCCGAAGGCCUUCAUCACUCACGCGGCGUUGCUGCAUCAGGGUUUCCCCCAUUGUGCAAUAUUCCCCACUGCUGCCUCCCGUAGGAGUCUGGGCCGUGUCUCAGUCCCAAUGUGGCCGAUCACCCUCUCAGGUCGGCUACGCAUCGUCGCCUUGGUGAGCCGUUACCUCACCAACUAGCUAAUGCGCCGCGGGCCCAUCUGAUAGCGGAUUACUCCUUUGGUCAUUUGAAGAUGCCUUCAUUUGACUUUAUGCGGUAUUAAUCUCCCUUUCGGGAGGCUAUCCCCCGUCUAUCAGGCAGGUUGCCCACGUGUUACUCACCCGUCCGCCGCUAGGAAAUUCCCGAAAGAAUUUCCUCGCUCGACUUGCAUGUGUUAAGCACGCCGCCAGCGUCGUCUCGAGUCCACGGAGUCAACUAC